Gossypium arboreum is the source of this 107-nucleotide non-coding RNA. The record is from Rfam. Lineage: Eukaryota; Viridiplantae; Streptophyta; Magnoliopsida; Malvales; Malvaceae.
GUUACAUGAUGAGGGCACUUUCUCAAUAAAUCUUUGUAUCUCUCCCAUGCAAGAUAUAAUGUAUUUAAAUCAAUCUGAAUAAAAGAAGAGAUGUCAUUCCUCAACUU